This is a long non-coding RNA of Eupeodes corollae, 598 nucleotides long. RefSeq lists it as uncharacterized. The record is from RefSeq and is a predicted model, not a curated record. The transcript is spliced from 2 exons. Lineage: Eukaryota; Metazoa; Arthropoda; Insecta; Diptera; Syrphidae.
AUGAUGAUCUUCAUAAUUGAUUACGCAAAUAUAUUUGUUAUACUGUGUAGCAACUGGAUUGUUGAUAAAAAAAAAGCGCUUGGAAGAAUUGUUCUCUAUAUGUUAUACCUGGGUAAAGGAUUUGAGUUACAUGUUAUGAGAUAUAAAAUUAAACAAUACAAGGUGGAUGUUUUUAUUUUUCAUUUUUUUGGAGUUCAGAUUAAGAUUCAAUUACAUAUGGGAAUAAAUAAAAACAUACAUUUAUUGCACCUAGUUAAAAUCUUUAAACGAGGAUGAGUUUCAAACAACAACAGUUGUGUAAAUUAAUGGUAUUGUAAUUAAAAUUAAUGUAUUUAGUUUAUUAAACAAUAAGUUUACGAACUUCGCUUUUGUUGAUGAAGCUGUCAAUCUGAAAUCUGAAGAUUUUAAUUUUUGAUACGUUCAAUGAAUAUUGCUACAGUAAUAGAGCUAAGACAAUAAGGGUAGUGUUACAUUUGAUUCUAUUAUGUGUUUUGGGGGGUUCAGAGUUGUAUGAAGCAUUGAACAAAUGUGUUUUAUGCUGAAUGCGUUUAAAGCAUACAAAAUAAUGAAAUAUAUCGAAGUUGUUUGUACUCACAGA